This 449-nucleotide ribosomal RNA is filed under the name uncultured bacterium. RNAcentral describes it as "partial 16S ribosomal RNA". It matches the Rfam family "Bacterial small subunit ribosomal RNA", at positions 29 to 523 of the family's 1533-position model. The record is from RNAcentral.
AGCGAACGCUGGCGGCAGGCUUAACACAUGCAAGUCGAACGAAGCCUUCGGGCUUAGUGGCGGACGGGUGAGUAACACGUGGGAACGUACCUUUUGGUUCGGGAUAACACAGGGAAACUUGUGCUAAUACCGAAUGUGCCCUUAGGGGGAAAGAUUUAUCGCCAUUAGAGCGGCCCGCGUUAGAUUAGCUAGUUGGUGGGGUAAAGGCCCACCAAGGCUACGAUCUAUAGCUGGUCUGAGAGGAUGAUCAGCCACACUGGGACUGAGACACGGCCCAGACUCCUACGGGAGGCAGCAGUGGGGAAUCUUGCGCAAUGGUCGAAAGACUGACGCAGCCAUGCCGCGUGAAUGAUGAAGGUCUUAGGAUUGUGAAAUUCUUUUACCAGGGACGAUAAUGACGGUACCUGGAGAAAAAGCUCCGGCUAACUUCGUGCCAGCAGCCGCAGUAU